Molecule: long non-coding RNA, 3101 nt
Filed under: Canis lupus familiaris (dog)
Lineage: Eukaryota; Metazoa; Chordata; Mammalia; Carnivora; Canidae
Description: lncRNA (ENSCAFG00000052230.1, ENSCAFG00805008272.1, ENSCAFG00845000368.1)
Source: RNAcentral
GGGACCGGGAGGAUGAAUCCUCCCGUAAGGAUGGAAGGACAUCCAGGGAACCUGGGUCCCUGAGGAUUUCCCGGAGCAGCAGUACCAGGAGCCCGGCCUGCCCACCUCCCUGCUUCCGCAGGAGAGAAGAUGCCCGAUGUUGCUGAGACGGCUCCUGUCCUGCAUUUCUCACUCCCUUCCAACCUAAUCCUGUUCCUCUGCUUCACUUGCCUGUCAAACACACAAGAGCACCUGCCUUAAUGCCUCACGUCUCUGUUCGCCUCUUCUUAGCCACAGAUCUUUAUUUAGCACCCACUUUGUUCAGUGCUGGUCAGAGCUGAGGGAGACUGUCAUGAGCAAGAUCGCCGAGCUCCUGCUCGGUGCGGAGUAGCCUGUGGCACGGGGAGACGCCGGCAGCGUGACUAGACGAGAUCAUUCUGGGUGGUAAUGAGCACUGUGUAGUAACCAAAACGGGACUGUAUUAUUUUCCUUUCACUGCUGUACCAAAUUAUCACCAACUUAGUGGCCUAAACAGCCUACAUUUAUCACCUUCCAGUUCUGGAGGUCAGAAGUCUGCCAUGGGCCUCACGGGCUAUAGUCAGGCGGCCCUUUCUGGAGGCCCUACGGGAGAACCUGGUCUUGCGUCUUCCUAUAACGUGGGCUGCCCACACUCGUUCUUACGCUCCUUCCUCCACCUUCAACACCAGCAGUGGAGUGUUGAAUCUGUUGUCCUAUGCAUCUGAGCUGACCAUCCUGCCUCUGUCUUCCGCUUUUAAGGGUCCUUAUGAUUAUGUGGGCCCCACCCAGGUAAUCCCGAAUAAUCUCUCCAUUUUAAGGUCAUCUGAUUAGCAGCCUUUAAUGUACCUGCUAUGGAAAUCACCCUUGGCAAUGUACAAGGACCGCCCAUGGCUUCCUGGAAUGAAGAGGAGGACAUCUUUGUGGGCUUUAUUUGGCCUGCCUUUAUUCUGCUUUAUUCUGUGUGCUGGGGAGACUUAGACAUUGAGGUGUCCUUCAGGGAGUGUGGUGACAGGAGGCCUCUGCAAGGAGCAACAUCUACUGGGAGGAACAGGCCCGCCAGGGUUCUAUCAGGUAUACCAGAUGCCCUGAGGCCAGACCGAGGCCCUGCUGUGUGCAGAAACAGAAUGGGACCUAGUGGGUGCAAGGAGCGUCCAAGGCAAGGUGGGAGGUGCACAGGGGCCCUUGGGCUUGGAUCUCCUCUCUGUGGAGUGGAACCCAUCAGAGGUUUUGAACAGCAAAGUAAUGUCAUGUGGCGUGCAGUGUAAAGAUCGUUUUUUUGCUAUGUAGACCAUGGCUUGUAAAGGGCAAUGGAGUAAAAAAGGAGAAUGAACCACUAGAAGGGAGCUGCAGUAACAGGUUAAAGAAAGUUGAUUAGGGUGGUGCCAUUACAUUUUGAGAAAUGAGAAUGGGUUUAGGAUAUAUCCUGAAGAGAGAGGCACUGAACUUGCUAAUGAACUAACAGAGAGUGAGGAAAAAGAAGAAUUGAAAGUGAAUCUGGGAAUUUGACUCAAGAGACUGAUUGGCUGAUCACGGUACUUACUGUAAAACAGAGAAGUGGGUGAGAAGUGGAUUUGCAGUGGAAGCCACGAGUCUGCACAGGUUGGGGUAAGCAUGAGGUAUCUCGUAGGGUUCCCAGUGAGAUGAUGAGGUUUGUGCAAGUCGGCUUGGCUACCUUAACAACACGCCUUGGAUGUGUAGCUUGGACAACCAGCAUUUUUUUUUCUCACAGUUCUGGGGGCUAGAAGUCCAUGAUAAGGUCCUGGGAUUGGAGAGGCCCAAUCCCAGGAGAGGGCCCUUCUCACCAUGUCCUUAGAUAGUGCUUCCUGUGCAAGUGUGGAGAGAGAGCUCUCUGGCACCUCCUCCUCUUCAGAAAGGACACCAGUCCCAUCACAGUGGGACACCCAGAGCCCUUCCUGAUCUGGCUCCAUUUCCCUCUUCACACUCACUUCUUCCCACUUCCUUCUUCACCCACAUUGGACCCUUACCAUUUUUCGUGGUCAUGCCAUAGUUCAACUUCAACAUACACAAACGCUGUUCCUUCACCAAUAGCACCUUUCUCUACCUGGAGCAUGGAUGAGAACCAACAAGGGCCAAUCAAUGGGUGGAGUGGAGAGGAAAGAAUAGUCAGGGACAGAGCCAAGGUCUUCAGGGAAGGAAGAUGUUUGCUCUGAGAAGAACAAGAAUGUCAUGCGACAGGUCAGAUGAUGCCACCAGGGCUAAGAAUUGGGUCUUGACAGGUGGAUGUUAGAAAAAAGGCAUAUCAGGGACACCUGGAUGGCUCAGUUGGUUAAUCAUCUGACUCUUGGUUUCAGCUCGGUCAUGAUCUCACAGUCAUGGGAUCAAGCCCUGUGUCUGGCUCUGAGGUCAGUGUGGAGUCUACUUCAGAUUCUCUCUCUCUCUCUCUCUCUCCUACUCUCUCUCUCUCUCUCUCUCUCAAAUACAUAAAUAAAAUCUUAAAAAAAGAAAAAGAAAGAAGGGCAUUUCAUUCAUCAGCAAUGACAUAAAGAGGAAGGGUUGGCAUGGGGGAAAGAAAGCAGAGCCACACUGGGGAACCUGCUGGACCACUCUAGUUAGACACAGACUCUUUCCAGGAAGCACAGAGCGUAGCUGGCAAGAAAGUCCUCCUUCCUCUUGAACCGGCCUCCAUGACAUCUCUAUUUGUGAAGUGCAUUUGGCAUAAAUGAUACUGCUGGCUUCAUCUUUCUCACCUGUGAAAUAGCAUUUGUGCUCCAAACCAGGAAAUACAGCACUAAAUUACAUAGUUUGUCCUCCAAUUCUUCCAUAUGCCUUAGUUUUAAAUCCUAAACCAGCGGAUGCUCAGACUUCAGUUAUGCAGCACGUACUUCUGGAGCAUGUACAAUGUGUCCAACACUGCCUGGUGAUGGUCUUGAGGAGGGAAUGGUCAGCACUAUUCAAGGCAAGUAAACAAGAAAGACAGGCAGAAAAUGUCCUCUGCAUUUAGCAACCAGGAAGUUCCUGAUGUGCUUGCUGAUUAAUCUAUGGCCUGUGGGCAAAUGAAAUAAAUGAGGAAAAUGUUCAUGAUGGUAAAAUUCUUUUUGUGAUGUGUUGAAGAAUUUGGGGUUAAUAAACUAAUUUAGAAGCUG